CCCUUAGAUGUUCUGGGCCGCACGCGCGCUACACUGAUGAAUUCAACGAGCACUAACCUGUGCAGAAAUGUUCGGGUAAUCUUGUGAAAUUUCAUCGUGAUGGGGAUUGAUUAUUGCAAUUAUUAAUCAUAAACGAGGAAUGCCUAGUAAGCGUGAGUCAUCGGCUCACGUUGAUUACGUCCCUGCCCUUUGUACACACCGCCCGUCGCUCCUACCGAUUGAAUGUGCUGGUGAAAAGUUCGGAUUGGGAAUAGGAGACGGCAACGUAUCCUGUUUCUGAGAAAAUCUUUAAACCCUCCCAUUUAGAGGAAGGAGAAGUCGUAACA
This 326-nucleotide ribosomal RNA is filed under the name uncultured eukaryote. RNAcentral describes it as "partial 18S ribosomal RNA". It matches the Rfam family "Eukaryotic small subunit ribosomal RNA", at positions 1470 to 1796 of the family's 1831-position model. The record is from RNAcentral.